AUUGAACGCUGGCGGCAGGCCUAACACAUGCAAGUCGAACGGUAACAGGAAGAAGCUUGCUUCUUUGCUGACGAGUGGCGGACGGGUGAGUAAUGUCUGGGAAACUGCCUGAUGGAGGGGGAUAACUACUGGAAACGGUAGCUAAUACCGCAUAACGUCGCAAGACCAAAGAGGGGGACCUUCGGGCCUCUUGCCAUCGGAUGUGCCCAGAUGGGAUUAGCUAGUAGGUGGGGUAAUGGCUCACCUAGGCGACGAUCCCUAGCUGGUCUGAGAGGAUGACCAGCCACACUGGAACUGAGACACGGUCCAGACUCCUACGGGAGGCAGCAGUGGGGAAUAUUGCACAAAGGGCGCAAGCCUGAUGCAGCCAUGCCGCGUGUAUGAAGAAGGCCUUCGGGUUGUAAAGUACUUUCAGCGGGGAGGAAGGGAGUAAAGUUAAUACCUUUGCUCAUUGACGUUACCCGCAGAAGAAGCACCGGCUAACUCCGUG
Molecule: ribosomal RNA, 490 nt
Filed under: uncultured bacterium
Lineage: Bacteria
Description: partial 16S ribosomal RNA
Rfam family: Bacterial small subunit ribosomal RNA
Source: RNAcentral